This 406-nucleotide ribosomal RNA is filed under the name uncultured bacterium. RNAcentral's name for it is "partial 16S ribosomal RNA". It matches the Rfam family "Bacterial small subunit ribosomal RNA", at positions 30 to 526 of the family's 1533-position model. The record is from RNAcentral.
AUUGAACGCUGGCGGCAGGCCUAACACAUGCAAGUCGAACGAGUGGCGGACGGGUGAGUAAUUUCUUGGAAACUGCCUGAUGGAGGGGGAUAACUACUGGAAACGUUAGCUAAUACCGCAUACCAUCGGAUGUGCCCAGAUGGGAUUAGUUAGUAGGGGGGGUAAAGGCUCACCAAGGCGACGAUCCCUAGCUGGUCUGAGAGGAUGACCAGCCAAACGGGAACUGAGACACGGUCCAGAAUCCUACGGGAGGCAGCAGUGGGGAAUAUUGCACAAUGGGCGAAAGCCUGAUGCAGCCAUGCCGCGUGAAUGAAGAAGGCCUUCGGGUGGUAAAGUACUGUCAGCGGGGAGGCGUUACCCGCAGAAGAAGCACCGGCUAACUACGUGCCAGCAGCCGCGGUAAUAC